AAAAGAGGGGGGAAUGCGAGACCAAAUGCAAUGAUGAGAGAGUUUCGUAAUUGUUUGGGAGAGUGUGGCCUGGAUGAUAUGGGAUGUAUAGGUUAUCUUUUCACAUGGAGGAGACGUGAAAUCAGGGAAAGAUUGGAUCGAGCGGUUCGUAAUGUGGAUUGGGCAAAUAAAUUUCCUCGGGCUGUGGUCAUAAACGAAGAGCAUGUACACUCGGAUCAUCGUCCUCUAGACACAGAAUAUUUUGAUGAUAAUAUUUUUAAUCGCCCAAAGAGUCGAGUGAAACAAUUUGAAGCUAGAUGGCUUAAAGAAGAGACGGUUAUGGAAAUCAUACGUACAUCAUGGGAUAAGGCGAAGAUGUUGGGCAUAGGCCGUCUCUAG
This 378-nucleotide ribosomal RNA is filed under the name Triticum aestivum (bread wheat). Its description in RNAcentral is "partial small subunit ribosomal RNA". Lineage: Eukaryota; Viridiplantae; Streptophyta; Magnoliopsida; Poales; Poaceae. The record is from RNAcentral.